This 1444-nucleotide long non-coding RNA is filed under the name Sorghum bicolor (sorghum). RNAcentral describes it as "long non-coding RNA (SBIC_LNC015499)". The record is from RNAcentral. Lineage: Eukaryota; Viridiplantae; Streptophyta; Magnoliopsida; Poales; Poaceae.
UACGGCCCGCCCAUAGCUCCUUCGACGGCGCCGCCUAGGAACGCGGAGAAAAUAUGACAAAGGAACGGCCAAAAAUAAAAAGAAAGACCUUUCUUUUGAAAAAACAAACAAAAAAAAAGGAAUGCAACACGAGGACUUCCCAGGAGGUCACCCAUCCUAGUACUACUCUCGCCCAAGCACGCUUAACUUCGGAGUUCUGAUGGGAUCCGGUGCUUUAGUGCUGGUAUGAUCGCAUCCGACAUACCGUGCGUUCUCCUCCCCUUUAUGCCCGCGCCUCCGUGUACGGCCCGCCCAUAGCUCCUUCGACGGCGCCGCCUAGGAACGCGGAGAAAAUAUGACAAAGGAACGGCCAAAAAUAAAAAGAAAGACCUUUCUUUUGAAAAAACAAACAAAAAAAAGGAAUGCAACACGAGGACUUCCCAGGAGGUCACCCAUCCUAGUACUACUCUCGCCCAAGCACGCUUAACUUCGGAGUUCUGAUGGGAUCCGGUGCUUUAGUGCUGGUAUGAUCGCAUCCGACAUACCGUGCGUUCUCCUCCCCUUUAUGCCCGCGCCUCCGUGUACGGCCCGCCCAUAGCUCCUUCGACGGCGCCGCCUAGGAACGCGGAGAAAAUAUGACAAAGGAACGGCCAAAAAUAAAAAGAAAGACCUUUCUUUUGAAAAAACAAACAAAAAAAAGGAAUGCAACACGAGGACUUCCCAGGAGGUCACCCAUCCUAGUACUACUCUCGCCCAAGCACGCUUAACUUCGGAGUUCUGAUGGGAUCCGGUGCUCUAGUGCUGGUAUGAUCGCAUCCGACAUACCGUGCGUUCUCCUCCCCUUUAUGCCCGCGCCUCCGUGUACGGCCCGCCCAUAGCUCCUUCGACGGCGCCGCCUAGGAACGCGGAGAAAAUAUGACAAAGGAACGGCCAAAAAUAAAAAGAAAGACCUUUCUUUUGAAAAAACAAACAAAAAAAAAGGAAUGCAACACGAGGACUUCCCAGGAGGUCACCCAUCCUAGUACUACUCUCGCCCAAGCACGCUUAACUUCGGAGUUCUGAUGGGAUCCGGUGCUUUAGUGCUGGUAUGAUCGCAUCCGACAUACCGUGCGUUCUCCUCCCCUUUAUGCCCGCGCCUCCGUGUACGGCCCGCCCAUAGCUCCUUCGACGGCGCCGCCUAGGAACGCGGAGAAAAUAUGACAAAGGAACGGCCAAAAAUAAAAAGAAAGACCUUUCUUUUGAAAAAACAAACAAAUAAAAGGAAUGCAACACGAGGACUUCCUAGGAGGUCACCCAUCCUAGUACUACUCUCGCCCAAGCACGCUUAACUUCGGAGUUCUAAUGGGAUCCGGUGCUUUAGUGCUGGUAUGAUCGCAUCCGACAUACCGUGCGUUCUCCUCCCCUUUAUGCCCGCGCCUCCGUGUACGGCCCGCCCAUAGCUCCUUCGACGGCGCCGCCUAGGAAC